RNAcentral lists this long non-coding RNA (369 nucleotides) under Brassica napus (rape). Its description in RNAcentral is "long non-coding RNA (BNAP_LNC017253)". The record is from RNAcentral. Lineage: Eukaryota; Viridiplantae; Streptophyta; Magnoliopsida; Brassicales; Brassicaceae.
AUUAGCAGUUCCUUCUCUUUCUAUCUGGUUAAUUAUAAUACAAAAUUAAUUUAUAUUUGAAAGAUUGUCAUUUUUCAUUUGUUUUAGUUAGUUUAUAAAAUAUGAGAACAAACAGCGAGGGGAAUAAAGGAAAAUUAAAGUGAUAAAUAAAGGAAAAGAUGGUCAAAACGAAAACAUCGAAGAAUUAUUCCAUCACCAUCACCCAAAUUUAUCUUUAUUGAAAUUCUCUAUUUUGCUUCAUCCCUUUUGAUUUUCCCUUUAUCUUUUCUUUUCCCCUCUUUUUAUGUUUUUUGACCCAUAAUUAUGUUAUAAUUUUUCAUUAUUAUAUUGUAUGAAUAAUUAUUUGACCCACGCUUUUUACACAUUUUU